Molecule: ribosomal RNA, 600 nt
Filed under: uncultured bacterium
Lineage: Bacteria
Description: bacterial SSU rRNA
Rfam family: Bacterial small subunit ribosomal RNA
Source: RNAcentral
UUACUGACGCUAAAGCUCGAAGGUGCGGGUAUCGAACAGGAUUAGAUACCCUGGUAGUCCGCACGGUAAACGAUGGAUGCCCGCUGUUUGCGAUAUACUGUGAGCGGCCAAGAGAAAUCGUUAAGCAUCCCACCUGGGGAGUACGCCGGCAACGGUGAAACUCAAAGGAAUUGACGGGGGCCCGCACAAGCGGAGGAACAUGUGGUUUAAUUCGAUGAUACGCGAGGAACCUUACCCGGGCUUGAACUGCAGCGGACGGAUACAGAGAUGUUGACUCCCUUCGGGGCCGCUGUGGAGGUGCUGCAUGGUUGUCGUCAGCUCGUGCCGUGAGGUGUCGGCUUAAGUGCCAUAACGAGCGCAACCCUUUUCUUUAGUUGCCAUCAGGUAAUGCUGGGCACUCUGGAGAUACUGCCACCGUAAGGUGUGAGGAAGGUGGGGAUGACGUCAAAUCAGCACGGCCCUUACGUCCGGGGCUACACACGUGUUACAAUGGGAGGUACAGAGAGAUGGUGUUCCGUAAGGCGCAUCAAAUCCUCAAAGCCUUCCUCAGUUCGGAUUGGGGUCUGCAACCCGACCCCAUGAAGCUGGAUUCGCUAGUAA